AUUGCCCCAGUAACGGCGAGUGAAGCGGCAACAGCUCAAAUUUGAAAUCUGGCUCCCCUUGGGGGUCCGAGUUGUAAUUUGGAGAGGAUGUUUCUGGCGCGGCGCCUUCCGGAGUUCCUUGGAACAGGACGCCACAGAGGGUGAGAGCCCCGUACGGUCGGCCGCCUAGCCUCCACGAAACUCCUUCGACGAGUCGAGUAGUUUGGGAAUGCUGCUCAAAAUGGGAGGUAAAUUUCUUCUAAAGCUAAAUACCGGCCAGAGACCGAUAGCGCACAAGUAGAGUGAUCGAAAGAUGAAAAGCACCUUGAAAAGAGGGUUAAACAGUACGUGAAAUUGUUGAAAGGGAAGCGCCUGCGACCAGACUCGCGCCCCGCGGACCAGCCGGCGUUCUCGCCGGUGCACUCCGCGGGGUGCGGGCCAGCAUCGGUUUUCCCUGGGGGAGAAAGGUUGCGGGAAAGUAGCUCUUUCGGGAGUGUUAUAGCCCGUGGCGUCAUGCCCCAGGGGGGACCGAGGACCGCGCUUCGGCAAGGAUGCUGGCGUAAUGGUCGUCGGCGACCCGUCU
Molecule: ribosomal RNA, 562 nt
Filed under: Ceratocystiopsis pallidobrunnea
Lineage: Eukaryota; Fungi; Ascomycota; Sordariomycetes; Ophiostomatales; Ophiostomataceae
Description: eukaryotic LSU rRNA
Rfam family: Eukaryotic large subunit ribosomal RNA
Source: RNAcentral